CUGAAACAUCUAAGUAGCUGCAGGAAGAGAAAGCAAAAGCGAUUGCCUUAGUAGCGGCGAGCGAAACGGCAGGAGGGCAAACCGAAGAGUUUACUCUUCGGGGUUGUAGGACUGCAAUGUGGACUCAAAGAUUAUAGAAGAAUGAUUUGGGAAGAUCAGCCAAAGAGAGUAAUAGCCUCGUAUUUAAAAUAGUCUUUGUACUUAGCAGUAUCCUGAGUACGGCGGGACACGGGAAAUCCCGGCGGAAUUUGGGAGGACCAUCUCCCAACCCUAAAUACUCCCUAGUGACCCAAUAGUGAACCAGUACCGUGAGGGAAAGGUGAAAAGCACCCCGGGAGGGGAGUGAAAUAGAACCUGAAACCGUGUGCCUACAACAAGUUCGAGCCCGUUAAUGGGUGAGAGCGUGCCUUUUGUAGAAUGAACCGGCGAGUUACGUUAUGAUGCGAGGUUAAGUUGAAGAGACGGAGCCGUAGGGAAACCGAGUCUGAAUUGGGCGCCUUAGUAUCAUGACGUAGACCCGAAACCAUGUGACCUACCCAUGAGCAGGUUGAAGGUGCGGUAAGACGCACUGGAGGACCGAACCAGGGCACGUUGAAAAGUGCUUGGAUGACUUGUGGGUAGCGGAGAAAUUCCAAACGAACUUGGAGAUAGCUGGUUCUCUCCGAAAUAGCUUUAGGGCUAGCGUCGACAUUAGAGAUUCUUGGAGGUAGAGCACUGUUUGGGUGAGGGGUCCAUCCCGGAUUACCAAUCUCAGAUAAACUCCGAAUGCCAAUGAAUUAUGGUCGGCAGUCAGACUGCGAGUGCUAAGAUCCGUAGUCGAAAGGGAAACAGCCCAGACCACCAGCUAAGGUCCCAAAAUAAUUGUUAAGUGGAAAAGGAUGUGGGGUUGCACAGACAACUAGGAUGUUAGCUUAGAAGCAGCUAUUCAUUCAAAGAGUGCGUAAUAGCUCACUAGUCGAGUGGCCCUGCGCCGAAAAUGUACCGGGGCUAAAACAAUUUACCGAAGCUGUGGAUACCUUUAUAGGUAUGGUAGGAGAGCGUUCUAUGUGUGAUGAAGGUAUACCGUGAGGAGUGCUGGAACGCAUAGAAGUGAGAAUGCCGGUAUGAGUAGCGAAAGACAGGUGAGAAUCCUGUCCACCGUAAGACUAAGGUUUCCAGGGGAAGGCUCGUCCGCCCUGGGUUAGUCGGGACCUAAGGAGAGACCGAAAGGUGUAUCCGAUGGACAACAGGUUGAUAUUCCUGUACUAGAGUAUGUAGUGAUGGAGGGACGCAGUAGGCUAACUAAAGCAGACGAUUGGAAGAGUCUGUCUAAGCAGUGAGGUGUGAAUUGAGUCAAAUGCUUAAUUCUAUAACAUUGAGCUGUGAUGGGGAGCGAAGUUUAGUAGCGAAGUUAGUGACGUCACACUGCCAAGAAAAGCUUCUAGCGUUUAAACAUACUCUACCCGUACCGCAAACCGACACAGGUAGUCGAGGCGAGUAGCCUCAGGUGAGCGAGAGAACUCUCGUUAAGGAACUCGGCAAAAUGACCCCGUAACUUCGGGAGAAGGGGUGCUGACUUUAAGUCAGCCGCAGUGAAUAGGCCCAAGCAACUGUUUAUCAAAAACACAGCUCUCUGCUAAAUCGUAAGAUGAUGUAUAGGGGGUGACGCCCGCCCGGUGCUGGAAGGUUAAGAGGAGUGCUUAGCGUAAGCGAAGGUAUGAAUUGAAGCCCCAGUAAACGGCGGCCGUAUCUAUAACGGUCCUAAGGUAGCGAAAUUCCUUGUCGGGUAAGUUCCGACCCGCACGAAAGGCGUAAUGAUUUGGGCACUGUCUCAACGAGAGACUCGGUGAAAUUUUAGUACCUGUGAAGAUGCAGGUUACCCGCGACAGGACGGAAAGACCCCAUGGAGCUUUACUGCAGUUUGAAAUUGAGUGUCUGUACCACAUGUACAGGAUAGGUAGGAGUCUAAGAGAUCGGGACGCCAGUUUCGAAGGAGACGCUAUUGGGAUACUACCCUUGUGUUAUGGCCACUCUAACCCAGAUAGGCGAUCCCUAUCGGAGACAGUGUCUGACGGGCAGUUUGACUGGGGCGGUCGCCUCCUAAAAGGUAACGGAGGCGCCCAAAGGUUCCCUCAGAAUGGUUGGAAAUCAUUCGCAGAGUGUAAAGGUAUAAGGGAGCUUGACUGCGAGAGCUACAACUCGAGCAGGGACGAAAGUCGGGCUUAGUGAUCCGGUGGUUCCGUAUGGAAGGGCCAUCGCUCAACGGAUAAAAGCUACCCUGGGGAUAACAGGCUUAUCUCCCCCAAGAGUUCACAUCGACGGGGAGGUUUGGCACCUCGAUGUCGGCUCGUCGCAUCCUGGGGCUGUAGUCGGUCCCAAGGGUUGGGCUGUUCGCCCAUUAAAGCGGCACGCGAGCUGGGUUCAGAACGUCGUGAGACAGUUCGGUCCCUAUCCGUCGCGGGCGUAGGAAAUUUGAGAGGAUCUGCUCCUAGUACGAGAGGACCAGAGUGGUCUUACCGCUGGUGUACCAGUUGUCUUGCCAAAGGCAUCGCUGGGUAGCUAUGUAGGGAAGGGAUAAACGCUGAAAGCAUCUAAGUGUGAAACCCACCUCAAGAUGAGAUUUCCCAUGAUUAUAUAUCAGUAAGAGCCCUGAGAGAUGAUCAGGUAGAUAGGUUAGAAGUGGAAGUGUGGCGACACAUGUAGCGGACUAAUACUAAUAGCUCGAGGACUUAUCCAA
This 2716-nucleotide ribosomal RNA is filed under the name Streptococcus pneumoniae. Its description in RNAcentral is "23S ribosomal RNA". It matches the Rfam family "Bacterial large subunit ribosomal RNA". Lineage: Bacteria; Bacillati; Bacillota; Bacilli; Lactobacillales; Streptococcaceae. The record is from RNAcentral.